RNAcentral lists this long non-coding RNA (236 nucleotides) under Gossypium barbadense (sea-island cotton). RNAcentral describes it as "long non-coding RNA (GBAR_LNC005138)". Lineage: Eukaryota; Viridiplantae; Streptophyta; Magnoliopsida; Malvales; Malvaceae. The record is from RNAcentral.
CCAAACGAGCACGCCAUACAGCGAAAGGGAUCAGCCAAGAAAGGUACAUUUACUCUCCUCAUGGUUCUCUCUAUUUAAAGCCAGCUUCGCAUCCACUCUUAUAUUAGCUUCCUGAUGUGGGAUCCCUCCAACAUUAGAGUUUAAAUUCAACACCAACUCUUGCCGCCCCCUGUUAGCAAAAUAAAUGCUCCUUGCUUGCCAUGGGAUUCGAACCCAUGCCUCCCCUCAGAUGCUCC